GCUGUAGCUCACUGGCAGGACAUCUGCUUUGAAUGCAGAAGGUCCUAGGUUUAAUCCCCAGCAUCUCCA
This is a non-coding RNA of Podarcis lilfordi (Lilford's wall lizard), 69 nucleotides long. The record is from the annotation of a GenBank genome assembly. Lineage: Eukaryota; Metazoa; Chordata; Lepidosauria; Squamata; Lacertidae.